GCGAGAGUGGUGAAAUUGGCAGACACGCAGGUCUUAGAAGCCUGUGCCGCGAGGCGUAAGGGUUCAAGUCCCUUCUCUCGCA
RNAcentral lists this transfer RNA (82 nucleotides) under Chlorobiales bacterium. It matches the Rfam family "tRNA". Rfam says of the family: Transfer RNA (tRNA) molecules are approximately 80 nucleotides in length. Their secondary structure includes four short double-helical elements and three loops (D, anti-codon, and T loops). The record is from Rfam by way of RNAcentral. Lineage: Bacteria; Pseudomonadati; Chlorobiota; Chlorobiia; Chlorobiales.